CGUAUCUCCGUUUCUGACCCGGGAAACGGGUCCUGGUACGAUUUGCCGCCGAUACCGGAGUUAAUUGAUGGAUUGCCGAGGUUUUGCCGGAUUGUUGGAGUCGGGUCGGAUUUAGUAGUAAUUGGCGGGUGUGACCCGGUUACCUGGCGGGUUAUGGAUUGUGUUUUCAUUUACAAUUUCAUAUCCGGGUCAUGGCGUCGUGGGGCGGAUAUGCCAG
RNAcentral lists this unclassified non-coding RNA (217 nucleotides) under Hevea brasiliensis (rubber tree). The record is from RNAcentral. Lineage: Eukaryota; Viridiplantae; Streptophyta; Magnoliopsida; Malpighiales; Euphorbiaceae.